Molecule: long non-coding RNA, 714 nt
Filed under: Vigna radiata
Lineage: Eukaryota; Viridiplantae; Streptophyta; Magnoliopsida; Fabales; Fabaceae
Description: long non-coding RNA (VRAD_LNC014452)
Source: RNAcentral
GAAAUUUGAGACAACACGGAUCAAUGCAGUAACACUUAUGUGGAGCGUGAUGCAAGCCAAACCUUGCUCUGAAUACCAAUUGAUAGCAUCAACCUUGGUGCUAUGUGUCAGAUCCGUGAGUUUCAGAUGAGGAAAACAGUAGCAGCGGAUGAAAAGCAGAGGAAAUGAGGUUCUGCAGCAAUGAUGUUGAUGAGUGGACGGUGAGAUGCAGAGGUAAGGAAGUUAUGCAUUUACGGUGCUAAUCCACAAAUACGUAAGUGAUGAUUAUGAGCAGUAGUAGCAAAGGAAGUAAGUGGUAGAUGGAAACGUGAUGGUGCUCGGUGAGGUGAAUGAGGUGCUUUGGUGAUAUGGAUCUAACUCAGAAGGCCUUCUCCUUGGAAGGAAGCUAGAGGAGAAAUGGAAGGAAGCACAAGGUUGUUGACUCUUGGUGGAGAAAAGGCUGGAAAGUACAUUAACAUUUCAAUUCUCUCUAAUUCCAAAAGUGAAUACAUGGUGCAGCCAAGGUGAGUUUUAUAGACUCCUCAUCCUUUGGCCGUUGAUGGAAACGUGCUCAUCCAAGAUGGAUCACGUUCCACGUUUCUAAACAUGUGCUAAAUGUGCUAAGCUUCUAGAAGCCUACAUGUAUUACACGUUUACAAUAUGAGGAGCAUGUGACAACAUUUAUAAUGUGCAAAGGAUUUCUGGUGCACCCCCUUGUCAUGCUAAGCUCACCCC